RNAcentral lists this ribosomal RNA (497 nucleotides) under uncultured bacterium. RNAcentral's name for it is "partial 16S ribosomal RNA". It matches the Rfam family "Bacterial small subunit ribosomal RNA", at positions 28 to 507 of the family's 1533-position model. The record is from RNAcentral.
GAUGAACGCUGGCGGCGUGCCUAAUACAUGCAAGUCGAGCGAACGGACGAGAAGCUUGCUUCUCUGAUGUUAGCGGCGGACGGGUGAGUAACACGUGGAUAACCUACCUAUAAGACUGGGAUAACUUCGGGAAACCGUAGCUAAUACCGGAUAAUAUUUUGAACCGCAUGGUUCAAAAGUGAAAGACGGUCUUGCUGUCACUUAUAGAUGGAUCCGCGCCGCAUUAGCUAGUUGGUAAGGUAACGGCUUACCAAGGCAACGAUGCAUAGCCGACCUGAGAGGGUGAUCGGCCACACUGGAACUGAGACACGGUCCAGACUCCUACGGGAGGCAGCAGUAGGGAAUCUUCCGCAAUGGGCGAAAGCCUGACGGAGCAACGCCGCGUGAGUGAUGAAGGUCUUCGGAUCGUAAAACUCUGUUAUUAGGGAAGAACAUAUGUGUAAGUAACCGUGCACAUCUUGACGGUACCUAAUCAGAAAGCCACGGCUAACUACGUG